AAACCUUAUCAGUGGUGAGGUUAACAUCUCAUGCACUUCUAUGAACACCUCUGAGAAUGUGAAGUCAGGGCUGGCUUGUAAAAGACAAAUGAUUCAACACAUAGUUUGAACUUUUAUUUAUGUUUAAUUUUUUAAUUUUUACAAGAUGCCGAUAGUAGCUGGCUUAUUAAUGUACAUUAUUCUUUGAUAUUUCAGGAAGCCACAGUGUUCAACUGUGAACUACAGAGUCCUGUAAGUUUAAAAUAACUUUGUUUCUCAACUAUGUGAUAUCCAGGAUUUUUUACAAUUACUUUGAGAUUUUUCCUCAUCAGUAAUGCAAAGAAAAUUGCAAUUGGAAUAUUCAACCAACAAUGGUCAUGGUCA
This 363-nucleotide long non-coding RNA is filed under the name Homo sapiens (human). Its description in RNAcentral is "HSALNT0193805". Lineage: Eukaryota; Metazoa; Chordata; Mammalia; Primates; Hominidae. The record is from RNAcentral.